AUCACGUGGUCCUGUCGCGCGUCACGUGGCUGCCAUCGCCGGUCACGUGGCCGCCGGCGCGGGUCACGAGAACAAACACGGGGGCAGCCGGCGCUUCCCGGCCGGUGUCGCUCCGCGGCGGGCCAUGGCCAACGUCUCUAAGAAGGUGUCGUGGUCCGGCCGGGACCGGGACGACGAGGAGGCGGCGCCGCUGCUGCGGAGGACGGCGCGGCCCGGCGGGGGGACGCCGCUGCUGAACGGGGCUGGGCCCGGGGCUGCGCGCCAGUAGAGAUGGGGUUUCACCAUGUUGGCCCAGCUGGUCUCGAACUCCUGGCCUCAAGUGAUUCGCCCGCCUCGGCCUCCCAAAGUGCUGGGAUUACAGGCAUGAGCCACUGUACCCCGCCGGGAAGAUCUGGUUCUGAAGGCAGUUUCUGGGAUGGCGGUUUGGGGAGCCCGUCUCCUUCAGGGUGAGCAC
RNAcentral lists this small RNA (454 nucleotides) under Pongo abelii (Sumatran orangutan). RNAcentral describes it as "processed transcript". Lineage: Eukaryota; Metazoa; Chordata; Mammalia; Primates; Hominidae. The record is from RNAcentral.